CAAAAACCAACAUUCUCCCCCUUUUUGAUGAUGACAAUUUAUGCACCAACAUGUUCCCCCUAAGUAUAUGGUUCCCCUAAAUUUAUGCAUAUUAAGGAGAAAAUUACUUAAUCCAAAAAAAACCAUCAUUGUAUAUUCCAGUAUAAUAUAGUAUCUCAAUAUCAACAUGAAUACCAAUUCAAACCAAUUUAAAUAUACCCAAAUAUCUCUCCCCUUUGUCAUUAUCAAAAAGAAAUAAAUCAUCAAAUUAUAUCUCUCCCCCUUUGUCAUCAACAAAAAAAUAAUGCAUAUCAAUUAAGUUGAAGAUAGUUAUCUCACCCAUUUGCCAAAUUAAAAAAUAAGCAUAAAGAAUGACAAUAGAACAAGGUUAUAACAAAAUCACAUAUAGCAAGUAAACAAUAUAAUCAUACCUUUGAAAUUUGUUACCUAUAUAUCAACCUUUUAUCAAGAUUAUCAUGUGUAUUAAAU
Molecule: long non-coding RNA, 468 nt
Filed under: Panax ginseng (ginseng)
Lineage: Eukaryota; Viridiplantae; Streptophyta; Magnoliopsida; Apiales; Araliaceae
Description: long non-coding RNA (PGIN_LNC006614)
Source: RNAcentral